Molecule: non-coding RNA, 217 nt
Organism: Zootermopsis nevadensis
Lineage: Eukaryota; Metazoa; Arthropoda; Insecta; Blattodea; Termopsidae
Source: RefSeq, a predicted model, not a curated record
CUGGAAUUGGGUUACCUGUGGCAUCCUUCUCUGGAAUCUGUCAGAAGACUGAACUUAGGGGCGAGGUUUUACUGAACUGGCUCAACUCUUGACCAUCAGAAGCUACACUUGAAAAUAUUUUAUUUUUUGUGUCUGUGUGAAACUGUUGUAAAAAGGAUUAAUCACUGCUGAUUCCUGAGAUGAUUUGAAGCAUUUAAAUUAAAAUUGCAUGUGUAAA